GACGAACGCUGGCGGCGUGCUUAACACAUGCAAGCCGAACGGAAAGGCCCUGCUUUUGUGGGGUGCUCGAGUGGCGAACGGGUGAGUAACACGUGAGUAACCUGCCCUUGACUUUGGGAUAACUUCAGGAAACUGGGGCUAAUACCGGAUAGGAGCUCCUGCUGCAUGGUGGGGGUUGGAAAGUUUCGGCGGUUGGGGAUGGACUCGAGGCUUAUCAGCUUGUUGGGGGGGUAGUGGCUUACCAAGGCUUUGACGGGUAGCAGGCCUGAGAGGGUGACCGGCCUCAUUGGGACUGAGAGACGCCCCAGACUCGUACGGGAGGCAGUAGUGGGGAAUAUGGCACAAUGGGGGGAAGCCUGAGGCAGCAACGCCGCGUGCGUGAUGACGGCCUUCUGGUUGUAAACCGCUUUGGCCGGUGACGAAGAGUGAGUGACGGUAAUGGGUAAAGAAGCACCGGCUAACUACGUG
Molecule: ribosomal RNA, 468 nt
Filed under: uncultured bacterium
Lineage: Bacteria
Description: partial 16S ribosomal RNA
Rfam family: Bacterial small subunit ribosomal RNA
Source: RNAcentral